UCCCCCUGUCCCUGUGGCCACUCAGAGGUAGGGAAGGGGCUCUUGGGGAGGCACAGGGGGCAGAGGUGACUCUGCUUUCUGAGAAGGUGAAGUUCCUGCCUGGAGAGCUGGUUUUGUAUAUAUUCACAUUUUCCAAAUUCCUGUAAAUACUUCUACUAAUACUAAAUCUUUACAGUGUUUUUCCCUUCCUGAAUGGCUGUGUCUGAGUGCAGGCCAGCCAGCUGGGUUCUCCUGUGUUAGCUUUCUGUAGGAAUGGAUUUUGAAGCUGUGUUUUGCUAAACAAAAUUACAACCUUAGAAGACAUUUCUGAGCUUUGUAAACUUGUCAGUGAAGCCUCGCUGUGUUCAGUUUGAUGUUUUUUAGUAUCACUGACAGAGAAAGAAAUCAGACACUGCUUUGGUUCCAAUGCAAUUUCUUGCUGUAGAAAUACAGAAAAUAUUCAAUUUGAAUUUUCCCUCCAGAUAGUUUUAUUAGAGAGAUGCAAGGGAGGGCCCUAACUUUGUGUCUCUCUUUCAGAAGGUUUUAUUCCAGCUUCCUUUCCUUGGCAUAAACAUCCCAUGUCCUGGCUGCAUGGUUGGGGAGCAGUCUGGGAUUUUGGAGCCCCAGCCCCUGCCCAGGGACUGUUUUUGGAGGCCAAAGCCCCCCAGAUGCCCACCUUGCUCUGCUCUGCUCCCCCUGACAGCAGCAGAGCAGUUUGCUCUCCAGAGCCCCCAGACUGAAGUCAGCAGUAUCAAACAAAUGUCCUGCAAGAACUGCCAGGCCAUGAACUUAGGGAAUAAAUAAUCCCAGCCUAUUGAGGUACCUAAUUAACUUCUGUGUGAUUCCGAGAGUACCAUUUAAUGUUUGGGUGCUGGAAGGGGACCAGGGAAUAUUUACUGUGCAUCUCAGCACUGCGGGUUGCUGCUGGCAGGUAAUGAAACCCAGCCAUUGCCCCUGGAGGGGAAGGCAGGCCUGCUGAUCUUUGCAAACACUGAUAACUGAUCAUAUGAAGGCAGCUGUAACAAGGACUGGGAACUGGAGGAAUUCAAAACUCUCUUGCUGGGUCACAGUCCCUCCCUGCUCCCUGCAGCACAGGGCAGAGGAGAUGUGCUCACUGCAGGGGAGUUUGAUCCAAAGUCAGCCUCUCUAUUCCAGAAGGACUUGCACACCUCUGGGGCUCAGCCUUGCCCUCCCACCCCCUGGCACUCCAUGGCUUCGGUGCCAUUUGCAGUUGACACCAGUGCAGCAACAAAGGAUUGUUUGUUGUCUUGGUAUUGAUCCACCUAACAAUUACCCUCAGAAGAAGAG
Molecule: long non-coding RNA, 1287 nt
Filed under: Parus major (Great Tit)
Lineage: Eukaryota; Metazoa; Chordata; Aves; Passeriformes; Paridae
Description: lncRNA (ENSPMJG00000002777.1)
Source: RNAcentral